Molecule: small RNA, 85 nt
Filed under: Sinorhizobium meliloti 2011
Lineage: Bacteria; Pseudomonadati; Pseudomonadota; Alphaproteobacteria; Hyphomicrobiales; Rhizobiaceae
Description: putative ncRNA
Source: RNAcentral
GCGGAAACGGCGAUUUCGAUGAAACCGCUGCCCGGGAGGAUCGCCUUGCCGUCGACCACGUGUUCGGCGAGAUCAGGGAAGAGAU